Gasterosteus aculeatus aculeatus (three-spined stickleback) is the source of this 736-nucleotide long non-coding RNA. NCBI's taxonomy places the organism in Eukaryota, Metazoa, Chordata, Actinopteri, Perciformes, Gasterosteidae. The record is from Ensembl.
GAAAGGUUCUAAAAGCAGCGUCACCCGGCUCGCUGCUGGGACGCCACCUGCAGAGACGUGCAGGGUUCCUGCACGCCGCACAUGAAGAUAAAUCAAUCAGUUGUGUGGGUGCACAAGGUGACACCCACUCCUCUGAAAACGCUUCCACGCUCCGACUUCGCCGCAGUGGAAAAACCUGCCGCCUUGUGAGGAAGCAGCAGCGUGACAGUCGACGGAGGACCAACACACCUCAGAGACACUUCCAGAGAGGGGACAUACGUGAGAGGAAAGAGAACAGAUGCCUGUGCGUCGUCCUCGUGUUUGAGCCUUCCAGCGAGGAGCGAGAGGUCUCCCGCCAAGCAGCAUCUGCACCUGGUUCCGGACCGAUGACGCCAGGGGUGGAGGAGAUUCCGGUCCGGAGCAAAGUCUGAUAUUUAGAGGCUGAUGGAAGUCAAUGCGCGUAGAGCGGCCAUGCAGACGUACGGAGAUUUGUUUAUGAGAUGUAUAAAGAACAGCAAGCUCAGGUUGAAGACAGAUAUGGUGUAAAUGUGCCCAUCAACCUACUAACACAUGAGCAUCGCUGCCCGCUAAGGUGCAAAAUGCAAUGAACAGUUUCAAUCAGCACACAUUUAUGUGAAAAUGUAACAGAUUAUUAGUUUAACAUAUUAACUGAGUGCCAGUUUAUUGUAGAAAUGGUGAGAGUGUUACAUUACAGGACAGACAUUAAAAAAACACAACAAAGAGCAGUUGUUUGGAG